Molecule: transfer RNA, 84 nt
Filed under: Aeromonas sp. MrichA-1
Lineage: Bacteria; Pseudomonadati; Pseudomonadota; Gammaproteobacteria; Aeromonadales; Aeromonadaceae
Description: tRNA-Leu
Rfam family: tRNA
About the family: Transfer RNA (tRNA) molecules are approximately 80 nucleotides in length. Their secondary structure includes four short double-helical elements and three loops (D, anti-codon, and T loops).
Source: RNAcentral
GCGAGUGUGGUGAAAUUGGUAUACACAGGAUACUUAAAAUGUCCCGCCUUUGGCAUGUCGGUUCGAGUCCGAUCAUUCGCACCA